AUACGGAGGAUGCAAGCGUUAUCCGGAUUUAUUGGGUUUAAAGGGUGCGUAGGCGGUUUGCUAAGCGGGAGGUGAAAUGCCGGCGCUCAACGUCGGAAGUGCCUCCCGAACUGGUGGACUUGAAUGACUCUGCCGUGGGAGGAAUGUGUAGUGUAGCGGUGAAAUGCUUAGAGAUUACACAGAACACCGAUUGCGAAGGCAUCUCACGAAGGGUUGAUUGACGCUGAGGCACGAAAGCGUGGGGAUCAAACAGGAUUAGAUACCCUGGUAGUCCACGCAGUAAACGAUGAUGGCUAACCGCUGGAUCGAUCGGUUCAGUGGCCAAGCGAAAGCGAUAAGCCAUCCACCUGGGGAGUACGACCGCAAGGUUGAAACUCAAAUGAAUUGACGGGG
RNAcentral lists this ribosomal RNA (393 nucleotides) under uncultured bacterium. RNAcentral describes it as "partial 16S ribosomal RNA". It matches the Rfam family "Bacterial small subunit ribosomal RNA", at positions 523 to 918 of the family's 1533-position model. The record is from RNAcentral.